GUAGGGCGCAAGCGUUAUCUGGAAUUAUUGGGCGUAAAGAGCUCGUAGGCGGUUCGUCGCGUCUGCUGUGAAAUCCCGAGGCUCUACUUCGGGUCUGCAGUGGGUACGGGCAGACUAGAGUGCGGUAGGGGAGAUUGGAAUUCUUGGUGUAGCGGUGGAAUGCGCAGAUAUCAGGAGGAACACCGCUGGCGAAGGCAGAUCUCUGGGCCGUAACUGACGCUGAGGAGCGAAAGGGUGGGGAGCAAACAGGCUUAGAUACCCUGGUAGUCCACCCCGUAAACGUUGGGAAUUAGUUGUGGGGUCCAUUCCACGGAUUCCGUGACGCAGCUAACGCAUUAAGUUCUCCGCCUGGGGAGUACGGCCGCAAGGCUA
RNAcentral lists this ribosomal RNA (372 nucleotides) under uncultured bacterium. RNAcentral describes it as "bacterial SSU rRNA". It matches the Rfam family "Bacterial small subunit ribosomal RNA", at positions 527 to 896 of the family's 1533-position model. The record is from RNAcentral.